CAGGAUUCCCUCAGUAGCUGCGAGCGAACAGGGAUAAGCCCAGCACCGAAUCCCGCGGCCGGCACAGGACGCCGGGAAAUGUGGUGUUAGGGAGGAUCCAUUAUAUCGGGACAUCGCGAUGCGUCCAAGUCCUUCUUGAACGGGGCCAUUACCCAUAGAGGGUGCCAGGCCCGUAGCGACCGUCGCGCGUCCCGAUAGGAUCUCUCCUCAGAGUCGGGUUGCUUGAGAGUGCAGCCCUAAGCGGGUGGUAAACUCCAUCUAAGGCUAAAUAUGACCACGAGACCGAUAGCGAACAAGUACCGUGAGGGAAAGUUGAAAAGCACUUUGAAGAGAGAGUUCAAGAGUACGUGAAACCGUUCAGGGGUAAACCUGAGAAACCCGAAAGGUCGACGGGGAAAUUCAUGCGCGUCUCCGUUUCCGAUGCGUUUUGGGGGUUCUAUGCGACGCUCGGUUCUUCGGGAUCGAGCGCGCCCCCCGUUUCGCAACAGAUCGGAUCGGAACGCGUGCACUUUUCCCCUGUCGGACGUCGCGAUCCGUUGGGUGUCGGUCUGAGGCCCGCGGCGGAGCCCGGCCGGUCGUCCUCGUGGCGAUCGACCGGACCCGCGGUGUUUCCCGACCGACUACGCCCGACGGUGUGAAUGUGGCGCGGGGCGCGGCUCAGUUUCGCGUUCGGCCCGCGGCAAGCGCGGGCGAUGCGUCGGCAAUCGGACCUGGUGCCGAUUCCGACCCCGCUCGACUGUUGGCCGCGGCGUUCUCGAACAGUCCCCGUAUUAUGCGCGCGAGCGCAUAGCACGCCGAUCGGCGACGCUAUUGCUUUGGGUACUUUCAGGAC
This 832-nucleotide ribosomal RNA is filed under the name Brachypeplus anceps. RNAcentral describes it as "eukaryotic LSU rRNA". It matches the Rfam family "Eukaryotic large subunit ribosomal RNA", at positions 70 to 648 of the family's 3401-position model. The record is from RNAcentral. Lineage: Eukaryota; Metazoa; Arthropoda; Insecta; Coleoptera; Nitidulidae.